RNAcentral lists this transfer RNA (71 nucleotides) under Loxodonta africana (African savanna elephant). It matches the Rfam family "tRNA". Rfam says of the family: Transfer RNA (tRNA) molecules are approximately 80 nucleotides in length. Their secondary structure includes four short double-helical elements and three loops (D, anti-codon, and T loops). The record is from Rfam by way of RNAcentral. Lineage: Eukaryota; Metazoa; Chordata; Mammalia; Proboscidea; Elephantidae.
ACAUUGGUAGUUCAGUGGUAGAAUUCUUUCCUUCCAUUAGAGAGACCAGGGUUUGAUUCCCAGCCAAGGCA